RNAcentral lists this long non-coding RNA (201 nucleotides) under Elaeis guineensis (African oil palm). RNAcentral describes it as "long non-coding RNA (EGUI_LNC009731)". Lineage: Eukaryota; Viridiplantae; Streptophyta; Magnoliopsida; Arecales; Arecaceae. The record is from RNAcentral.
UGGGGUAUUACAGGUUAAACAGUCCUAGUUAAGUAGGAAUGGCGUGCAAAGGUCCUACUUUAGUUAGAAAAUUUCUAUAGAUCAUUUGUAUUUAAUUUUGGGUAGAUUCAGCCACCUUUUCAUAUAGUUUCUAUGUCAAUUAGAAUUGAGUGGACUUUUAGGGAAGACUUAAGGUCUUGCUAAGAGUUUUAAGUUAAUGGU